GAUGAACGCUGGCGGCGUGCCUAAUACAUGCAAGUCGAGCGAACGGACGAGAAGCUUGCUUCUCUGAUGUUAGCGGCGGACGGGUGAGUAACACGUGGAUAACCUACCUAUAAGACUGGGAUAACUUCGGGAAACCGGAGCUAAUACCGGAUAAUAUUUUGAACCGCAUGGUUCAAAAGUGAAAGACGGUCUUGCUGUCACUUAUAGAUGGAUCCGCGCUGCAUUAGCUAGUUGGUAAGGUAACGGCUUACCAAGGCAACGAUGCAUAGCCGACCUGAGAGGGUGAUCGGCCACACUGGAACGGAGACACGGUCCAGACUCCUACGGGAGGCAGCAGUAGGGAAUCUUCCGCAAUGGGCGAAAGCCUGACGGAGCAACGCCGCGUGAGCGAUGAAGGUCUUCGGAUCGUAAAACUCUGUUAUUAGGGAAGAACAUAUGUGUAAGUAACUGUGCACAUCUUGACGGUACCUAAUCAGAAAGCCACGGCUAACUACGUG
RNAcentral lists this ribosomal RNA (497 nucleotides) under uncultured bacterium. Its description in RNAcentral is "partial 16S ribosomal RNA". It matches the Rfam family "Bacterial small subunit ribosomal RNA", at positions 28 to 507 of the family's 1533-position model. The record is from RNAcentral.